RNAcentral lists this ribosomal RNA (402 nucleotides) under uncultured bacterium. Its description in RNAcentral is "bacterial SSU rRNA". It matches the Rfam family "Bacterial small subunit ribosomal RNA", at positions 110 to 507 of the family's 1533-position model. The record is from RNAcentral.
GUAAUAUAUCGGAACGUACCUUCAGGUGGGGGAUAACGUAGCGAAAGUUACGCUAAUACCGCAUAUUCUGUGAGCAGGAAAGCAGGGGAUCGCAAGACCUUGCGCUGAUUGAGCGGCCGAUAUCAGAUUAGCUAGUUGGUGAGGUAAAGGCUCACCAAGGCGACGAUCUGUAGCGGGUCUGAGAGGAUGAUCCGCCACACUGGAACUGAGACACGGUCCAGACUCCUACGGGAGGCAGCAGUGGGGAAUUUUUGGACAAUGGGCGCAAGCCUGAUCCAGCCAUGCCGCGUGAGUGAAGAAGGCCUUCGGGUUGUAAAGCUCUUUCGGCCGGGAAGAAAUCGCACAGGUUAAUACCCUGUGUGGAUGACGGUACCGGAAUAAGAAGCACCGGCUAACUACGUG